ACCCCACACCCAGAAAAAAAAAGCUCCAUCGAUCCCAUCUAUCGUUGCUGCCGCCGCCGCCGUCCGAGAGGGAGACGCCGCCGCCGCCGCCGAACUCCGGGAAACGCCGCCGCCAAGUCUCCAGGGCAGGGCGGUUUCAAUCCCUGCCGCCGAACUCCGGGAGACGCCGUCGCUGCGGCACAGGGUAGAUUUCGCGUCUCCACGUGGUCGCACGCACGCCUGCACCUCCACUUCCCCCCUCGAUCUCGAUCGGAUCUUCCUCUCCACAAAAAUCGCCACCGCCGGCCUCCUUCGCUCGACUCGGCCAUGGUGAAGCUACACCUCCCCCAAUUCCUCCCGUCGUCAUCGUCAUCCUCCGUGUGACCCCGCCAGAUUCCACGAUUUGGGGGAUUCCCUAUGAGGAGCCGGCGCGUCGUCCUCAUCGCAGGCGGUGGCGGGUGUUGGCAUGUGCGCGUACGGAGGAGCUCCACCUCACCCACUUCAGCUUCCUCCCGUCGUCAUCAUCGUCCUCCGCGCGACCACGCCAGCUUCCAUGGUUUGGGGGAGCCUUCCCUAUGAGGAUCCAGCGUGUCGUCCUCGUCGCACCCUAAUUAGGUUCCUGGUGUGUCCGCACCGCCGCACCCUAAUUUGAUUUCGACUGGAGUCUAGGACGUCAGCGCCACCAGUUUACCAAUCAGGUCGUUAGCACUGCCGUCCAGGUGAUAAUAAACGCCGUUCACCACAAGAAGAGGUGAGAGGCAGAUUCCAGAUAAGGAGCAAACUGCGUGGCAAGAUCAAUAAUGAAUGGUUCAAGUCAUGUGUUACAAGUUACAAUGAGCAGGUGGUACUCAAGUCCGUUGAUGAUAAGGAUAUUAUUCGAACAUUUACUGCAAUGAGGUCUCGGAAAGGGCAUUUGCCUCGUGAUUGUCUUUAGUGUGCUGUCGGUAUUCGGUAUGUUCCAUCUGACCAUCUAUAUUCUUGCAAGCUUUUGAUUUGUAAUAUAUUCAAAUAAUUUGUAUUUAAAAAUUAUGGGUUAGUAGAUCCGUUUUAAUUUGCAUUUCUAUUCUUGCAAGUAUUCGGUAUUUGCAUUCUUUUGUCCACGCUUUAAUUCCUAGAUCCCGUUUGUUUCGGCAGCAUUGUUACUUUGUUGUUUCUUCUGCUACAAGGCCCAUGGUUAUAGUAAACCUUCUUCUUUUAAGCAUCCUAUCAAACCUACUUAAACAAACGUGUGCCUUUUUGCCCACAUCUUCAUGCUAUUCAUCUGCAUGUUGCCUUGCAUAUAUAUAUAUAUAUGGUCAAAAAGCAUACGGUUUCACCACAACAGGUAACACACAGGCCAUGUGUCCUCUGCUUAUGGAUCUGUACUUGUGUUUCGUAUAUGCUAACCAUACUUUCUGUUGCUCUCGCCAAACUCUCGUGUUAACUGUUGAGUGAUGGGAUCAGUUCAUGACCUAACUAAAACCUCUGAUCCAACACCUCAUCACACUUUUGGUCAGACAUGCAUAUUAGGCCAACGGCACAUUUUAGUGAAUGAAAACUAUGAGCUGAGAAUAAAUAGGCGCUCUGUUUGGUUCAGAUAUUUUCAUACAUAAUUUGAUGUACUUCUCAUGGAUAUCUUCUUACACGUGAGCUUAUUUUGAAGAUGAUAAUAAGUUUCUGCCUUAGAGUUAAUGCAUAGUAUAUGACCGUCAAUCUCCAGUUCGAGGAAGAUUUUGGAGCAGCAACAUACAAGCAGAGCUAAGAUUGGUCCAGCCACUUCAUUUAUUUUCUGAAAAGGAAUUGAUGAAUGAGAGUAUAUUUUGAGAGAUCCAUCUAUAUGGUACGUUCAAUGCUGAUUUGAUAAUUUUGCGCAUGUCUCGUGCAGGCAUGCCAGCGCCUUCGUCGACCUCCACUCGCCAAUCUGUAACGCCUAUGCCCGUGGUGGCGGGUCACACUCUGAUGCAGCCGUGCACGCCGCCGCUACCAGACGACACCCCCACCGAGUAACACACCCCAGUCGAGAUUUUCUAUAUCAUCUCUGCCAAGGCGCAGUUAUCGGAAGAGAUUCAGGCGGCAUUGCUGGCGGCCGAAGGGGUGCUUGUGGAAGCAGGUGGAAUAGUCGGCAGCUGUGGGGAUUCGUUAUUCUCCGAGGUUGGCGGGCUCGACGCCAGGCUCGAUGGGGCUGCGGGAUUGUCAAGCAGGCGGGUGAUUGCUCAACGAUGACUGGAGACGAUCUUCGGUAUUACAACUGCUUUAUACCAAUGGGUUAUUUGCAUCUCAAGUUAAAUUAGUCACUGUUGAUCAACAAUGAGAUGUGGCCAUUGUUUGAUGGAUCAUUGAUGAUACGGAUGUGCAAUGAAACAAUGAUAUACCCACUGUAUUGGACCCGAACACCUUCCUGAAAAUUGUUCUGAAGGGGUUAGCACAAGGAAACUAUUGUUAUGACUUGCGAGGUCUGCUGGAGGUGACCGGAUCCGGAUGACUUGAGCAAAGCUGUGAAAAUUCACGGCAAGGGAUGGGGGUACAAGGCAUGGGUCUGCGGCGCCACACCUUGGUGUUGCCUGCCGGUGGCCAGCGAGCUGUGGCGGUGCUUCUCUGUUGCAUGGCGAGGGACUGGGGUGCAAGGCGUGCAUCUGCAGUGCCACUCCUGGGGCAUGCCUCUCCUGCGACAUUGCCGGCAUACACAACAUACCUUACUACACGGGGAUUUCCUCUCUGAACUAAAUAUUAUGUCAGAACUGAAUAUUACGUCCGAAGACUGAAACAUCCAUAAAGCUUAUUGAGACUAUUCAUUGAUGGUGUUUCUCUACUACACGAGGAAGUUUCAUGUGCCAAUUAGGCAUGGACGACGACGGCCAUGAUCCCAUCAUGGCAAGCUCACGGGAGGGAGACACACGUCUCAUCCAGUGUAAUAGCACGCUCCAAAAAAUCCCUAACCCUCCAUGGAGCCAUUGCCAGGGUGAUGAGAUCAACACCACCCACCACCACCACCGAGCUGUAGACGGCGUGUCAUGGUGCUCCCUAGCUCUUCCCGCCUCUUAAGAGACCACAUGGCGUUCUGGCAGUUCUGGUGCAGUUUUUGGCCAAGGCUGGAAGCCAAGAACACUUCUUAAUUUUGAUCAUGGACGUGACAUUGUGGUCGGUGUUGUGUGGUGCAGUUCAGAGUUUUCUUGCCUGGCGUAUAACAAUGCAUGUUCAAUGGGGUAGCCUCUUCUCAGGCACGAGUAUCCGAGGCAGACCACGACAUCUAUUUAGAAUAGCUACAACAAAAUUGUGACAGAGAUGGUUAGUGGGAGAAGGAACUUGAGACCACAGUCAAUUCUGCUGUAGGGACUGUGUGUAGAAGAUAGUAGUAGCAAACAUAGAAGUCACUUUGGAAAAAAAGUGUGCAUAUAUUGUUGUACUAGAGAUCCAUUCCUAUAUUUAACUGAUAUGCAUGGUUGAAUUGUAGUAUGUGUGAUACGUGAGAAUAAUGUAAUAUGAAGCGAAAUGUGGUGGACAGGGCUUCACAUUGUUGUUUUUCAGCAGAAUAUGAUGUUCGUCUCUUUUU
Molecule: non-coding RNA, 3508 nt
Organism: Aegilops tauschii subsp. strangulata
Lineage: Eukaryota; Viridiplantae; Streptophyta; Magnoliopsida; Poales; Poaceae
Source: RefSeq, a predicted model, not a curated record